RNAcentral lists this ribosomal RNA (670 nucleotides) under Bacillus sp. CR70. Its description in RNAcentral is "bacterial SSU rRNA". It matches the Rfam family "Bacterial small subunit ribosomal RNA", at positions 372 to 1032 of the family's 1533-position model. Lineage: Bacteria; Bacillati; Bacillota; Bacilli; Caryophanales; Bacillaceae. The record is from RNAcentral.
UGGACGAAAGUCUGACGGAGCAACGCCGCGUGAGUGAUGAAGGUUUUCGGAUCGUAAAACUCUGUUGUCAGGGAAGAACAAGUACCGGAGUAACUGCCGGUACCUUGACGGUACCUGACCAGAAAGCCACGGCUAACUACGUGCCAGCAGCCGCGGUAAUACGUAGGUGGCAAGCGUUGUCCGGAAUUAUUGGGCGUAAAGCGCGCGCAGGCGGUUCCUUAAGUCUGAUGUGAAAGCCCCCGGCUCAACCGGGGAGGGUCAUUGGAAACUGGGGAACUUGAGUGCAGAAGAGAAGAGUGGAAUUCCACGUGUAGCGGUGAAAUGCGUAGAGAUGUGGAGGAACACCAGUGGCGAAGGCGACUCUUUGGUCUGUAACUGACGCUGAGGCGCGAAAGCGUGGGGAGCAAACAGGAUUAGAUACCCUGGUAGUCCACGCCGUAAACGAUGAGUGCUAAGUGUUAGAGGGUUUCCGCCCUUUAGUGCUGCAGCAAACGCAUUAAGCACUCCGCCUGGGGAGUACGGCCGCAAGGCUGAAACUCAAAGGAAUUGACGGGGGCCCGCACAAGCGGUGGAGCAUGUGGUUUAUUCGAAGCAACGCGAAGAACCUUACCAGGUCUUGACAUCUCCUGACAACCCUAGAGAUAGGGCGUUCCCCUUCGGGGGACAGGAU